Long non-coding RNA from Hermetia illucens (black soldier fly), 698 nucleotides. RefSeq lists it as uncharacterized. The transcript is spliced from 3 exons. The record is from RefSeq and is a predicted model, not a curated record. NCBI's taxonomy places the organism in Eukaryota, Metazoa, Arthropoda, Insecta, Diptera, Stratiomyidae.
GCAACGUGCGGUGACUAGAAAUUAAUGUGGAUGAAGAAAUUUUUUCCAGUACUUAGCGGGUAUUAAUGAAGCCGCUAAGAUCUUCUAUUAGAAUAUCAGUAGCUUUUUGUUAAUUAAGGCAGCAACUCAAGCUUGUGUGCCAUAUUUAAGUUUGUGGCAGCGGUUGAGAUUAAUAAGGACUUUAAAUCCAGGACAAUAUACAAAUUCUCAAUUAUUAGUGUUUGUUCAAAAUAUCUCUACUGAAGGAAAUUGAACACAAAUCGAAAAAGAAAAAGCACGACAUUUUCCGAAGUGAACAACUGUGCAGAAAAGCCAUAUUUUUGGAUAUGAAACGAUUUUACUUAUUUGAUUUUCAAGGAUAGUAUUACUAAUACUGCUUACGAAAGUGUUAAAUAUUUUAUUAGUUAAAAUUACUCAAGGAAAAUAUCGGAAUUGAUAUCGUAGAAGAAGCCCGAAAUUCAAAUAAGACCCAAUAGAUUGCAAUUCCGGUGGAAUCUCGUAGAUUGUCGAAACUUGCAGGAAGCUAUAACUAGGCGGGCAACCUGGUUGAAAGUGGCAAGGAGAGGAAUGUGAUUAUUGAAAAAACUAGAACCGGCAUGCAAGAUUUGUCCGUAAUGCUCAUGAAAAUUGACGAAUCAUAGCAUUAAGUCGAUUAAUUAAUUUGGAAAAGUCGGGAAACCAGAAGCUUGACGGUUCAG